This 818-nucleotide long non-coding RNA is filed under the name Homo sapiens (human). RNAcentral's name for it is "HSALNT0364654". Lineage: Eukaryota; Metazoa; Chordata; Mammalia; Primates; Hominidae. The record is from RNAcentral.
GGGAGGAACACCUUGAGAGGAGUUGAGAUCCUGCUUUCUCUUCAGAAUGCCAUCUCUAGGAUGCCAAUGGGCUGUGUCUACAGUACUAUGUAGGAAAGUGCUGCAAGAGAGAGCCCAUUUUGCCUAAACAAGAACCACGAUUAUGUAAAGAAAUCAUAAACACCUCUAAAACACAUGUAUACUGGUGGUGUUAGUCAACUUAUAUCACUGUCUGUGAAGACGAUGCAGCAAAUUCAAUGAAAGUUGUAUACAUCAUGGAAAAGUUUGAAUUGCAUGAAGAAAAGAAGCUGACGGAAGUUCUUUCUGUCACCUCUCUGAAGACCUGGUUCAUAUCUGCAGCUGCAACUCUAUCCCUGAACUCAUCUUUGAAACUACCCAGAGAUAGACUGUCAAGAGCUUCAGAGCUUUACAACAGGAUCUUCCAAGUGCCCUGAGAGGUCAUGAUGGAGCCAAUAGAAAUAAAUCAUACAAAACAAAGCCAGAACCUGGUGGGAGGGAUGCUUACAAAACAACAUAAACGAGAAGUUGUCUGAAAAAAAAUUGUAUGGAAGGAAGAAGAGAUGAGAUAAGGGAAAUGAACUCAUAAUAGCCCCAGUUAAAAUACUUACAGUAAAAUAUCAUUAGUACUACUUGAUGUUGGUGAAAGGCUCUAGACUCAAGUCAGAAGGCCCAAUUUGUUGCUGUGAUUUCUUGAACAAAUUAUGUAAUUGUGUUGAGAUUCAGUUUUCUUUUCUAUCAUUGGGUAUUAAUAACUUCUAUGUGAUGUCAGAGUUAUGAUGUGAAGUUAAAAUAACUAAUAAAUGGGUAAACCCUGAAAA